Long non-coding RNA from Nicotiana attenuata, 841 nucleotides. RefSeq lists it as uncharacterized. NCBI's taxonomy places the organism in Eukaryota, Viridiplantae, Streptophyta, Magnoliopsida, Solanales, Solanaceae. The record is from RefSeq and is a predicted model, not a curated record. The transcript is spliced from 3 exons.
AGGGCAAAAUGAGACUUGCAAAAAGGAUUGCAAGUCCUUCCAUUACCAGUAGUACAAGGACGCGAUGGGAAUAGAGGAAGUAGUCCUUUUUAACUACUUUAUAUUGGAGAAAUUCUUUUACAUGGUUUCUGGAAUUAACAUCUGAUUACUCUGUCUAACUACUCUGGCUUUACGAGGACAAAGGAACAAAAGUCCAUUCUUGGCAGACAGAAGUGCUGAAAUGAAUUUCAAUCGCCGUAAAAAAUAUAAGGAAAUCUCAGCGGAUAGAAGGGAAGCAUUAUUGUUAAACUGCCGUACGAAAGAACUCGAUUCAAGAAAACGUCUUCUAGAAAGUCGUACUCUGGAUGACUCAGUCAAAUCAACAUCUCUAAGUAAUUCAACGCUUCAAAGGGAGAGUGCUCUCAUAAUAAGAGAUUUUUCUCUUACUUCAAAUCAAGGUUAGCAAAUUAAACUUUUGCUCUUUCUGUUUAAAUGCAGUCGGUUUAAACUAAAUAUGUUUCACGCGUCUUUAUUAGCUGCUAAAUGUGAAGUUAGUACUUUACCUGCUGCUUUUGCGAAAGGAAAAAGUUUAGUUGGUCAUUUUUCCAUCUUCGAAACAGGCGAGUAUAUGAAGCAUAUUAUUUUAAUAAAAUCUCUAUUGUCGUAAACCAUUUACUUAUGUAAUUCAUAAUUGCGUUUAUAUUAGGAUCCACAUCAGGUACAUCUAAUGACCGAUGUGGUGUUAGUUCAGAGAAUAUAGCAAAUAGAGGUUUGUAUCACUCUCAAGUUAUAAUAGUAUUCGUUAUCUUCCUUUGGAGUGAAAAUUGACUCCUAAUUGUUUCCGUAAUAUUCAAGAGUUAGA